AGAAGUGUGAAAAUCCGUAGACAUGUUAAUACGCAACGGGUGUAUUUCACGCUUAUACUCUACAUCAACAGGUACCUUACAUUUUAUCUCCAGUUUCCCGCUAUAAAGUGAAGGCUUCAUGUUUCACUUGUAACAAGCGGAUACUGUUCUGUGGAUGGAAGGUUCGUGAAGAUUCUCACGCUUUUUUAUUUAUGUAUGUGAAGAAAUCCUUAUAGGGAACCAAACUUAGGAGUUACAAUAUUAAUGUUGCCAUGUUUUCUUGCUGAUUACGGAGAUUAAUACGGUUCCUGUGUGACUAUAUAGCAAUAUUUUUAGAAGAUUUUUUAGCUAAAUAUUACGAACGAAAACUUAGGCACUGAUAAGACUGCAAGUGGUAAAUUUUUUUUUUUUUACAUUCUGUGAGAGUGUUGCUGGCGACUGUAUCAGCUGCUUCAUCACCCAUCAAAAAUCGUUCAAGUGGAUGGGCACGCUGUCGUAUUUGGAGAGGCGAAACAAGCCGGCAGGUGA
This is a long non-coding RNA of Octopus sinensis (East Asian common octopus), 507 nucleotides long. RefSeq lists it as uncharacterized. The record is from RefSeq and is a predicted model, not a curated record. The transcript is spliced from 2 exons. Lineage: Eukaryota; Metazoa; Mollusca; Cephalopoda; Octopoda; Octopodidae.